This 718-nucleotide ribosomal RNA is filed under the name Citricoccus nitrophenolicus. RNAcentral describes it as "bacterial SSU rRNA". It matches the Rfam family "Bacterial small subunit ribosomal RNA", at positions 50 to 778 of the family's 1533-position model. Lineage: Bacteria; Bacillati; Actinomycetota; Actinomycetes; Micrococcales; Micrococcaceae. The record is from RNAcentral.
AACACAUGCAAGUCGAACGCUGAAGCCCGAGCUUGCUGGGGUGGAUGUGUGGCGAUCGGGUGAGUAACACGUGAGUAACCUUCCCUUGACUCUGGGAUAAGCCCGGGAAACUGGGUCUAAUACCGGAUACGACCUCCUGCCGCAUGGUGUGGGGGUGGAAAGAUUUAUCGGUUUUGGAUGGACUCGCGGCCUAUCAGCUUGUUGGUGAGGUAAUGGCUCACCAAGGCGACGACGGGUAGCCGGCCUGAGAGGGUGACCGGCCACACUGGGACUGAGACACGGCCCAGACUCCUACGGGAGGCAGCAGUGGGGAAUAUUGCACAAUGGGCGCAAGCCUGAUGCAGCGACGCCGCGUGAGGGAUGACGGCCUUCGGGUUGUAAACCUCUUUCAGUAGGGAAGAAGCGAAAGUGACGGUACCUGCAGAAGAAGCGCCGGCUAACUACGUGCCAGCAGCCGCGGUAAUACGUAGGGCGCGAGCGUUAUCCGGAAUUAUUGGGCGUAAAGAGCUCGUAGGCGGUUUGUCGCGUCUGCCGUGAAAGUCCGGGGCUUAACCCCGGAUCUGCGGUGGGUACGGGCAGACUAGAGUGCAGUAGGGGAGACUGGAAUUCCUGGUGUAGCGGUGAAAUGCGCAGAUAUCAGGAGGAACACCGAUGGCGAAGGCAGGUCUCUGGGCUGUUACUGACGCUGAGGAGCGAAAGCAUGGGGAGCGAACAGGAU